This is a non-coding RNA of Potamilus streckersoni, 77 nucleotides long. Lineage: Eukaryota; Metazoa; Mollusca; Bivalvia; Unionida; Unionidae. The record is from the annotation of a GenBank genome assembly.
GACCGUUUCGGUGGCUUAGUGGUUAGAGCGCCAGCCACAGAUGCGGGAGGUCGUGGGUUCUAUACCUUGUCGAGUCA